GUUUAUGAUGACUUCCACAUUUACACGACGGUCUACUGCGCUUCUCAACUGUUUAACGAGAAGCUUUGAUGAUAGUCUGCCUUUGACAGGGCGUGGCACUGAUU
This 104-nucleotide small nucleolar RNA is filed under the name Tetrapisispora phaffii CBS 4417. RNAcentral describes it as "Small nucleolar RNA snR73". It matches the Rfam family "Small nucleolar RNA snR73". Lineage: Eukaryota; Fungi; Ascomycota; Saccharomycetes; Saccharomycetales; Saccharomycetaceae. The record is from Rfam by way of RNAcentral.